CGAUGGGAAACAGGUUAAUAUUCCUGUACUUGGUGUUACUGCGAAGGGGGGACGGAGAAGGCUAUGUUGGCCGGGCGACGGUUGUCCCGGUUUAAGCGUGUAGGCUGGUUUUCCAGGCAAAUCCGGAAAACUAAGGCUGAGGCGUGAUGACGAGGCACUACGGUGCUGAAGCAACAAAUGCCCUGCUUCCAGGAAAAGCCUCUAAGCAUCAGGUAACAUCAAAUCGUACCCCAAACCGACACAGGUGGUCAGGUAGAGAAUACCAAGGCGCUUGAGAGAACUCGGGUGAAGGAACUAGGCAAAAUGGUGCCGUAACUUCGGGAGAAGGCACGCUGAUAUGUAGGUGAAGUCCCUCGCGGAUGGAGCUGAAAUCAGUCGAAGAUACCAGCUGGCUGCAACUGUUUAUUAAAAACACAGCACUGUGCAAACACGAAAGUGGACGUAUACGGUGUGACGCCUGCCCGGUGCCGGAAGGUUAAUUGAUGGGGUCAGCGCAAGCGAAGCUCUUGAUCGAAGCCCCGGUAAACGGCGGCCGUAACUAUAACGGUCCUAAGGUAGCGAAAUUCCUUGUCGGGUAAGUUCCGACCUGCACGAAUGGCGUAAUGAUGGCCAGGCUGUCUCCACCCGAGACUCAGUGAAAUUGAACUCGCUGUGAAGAUGCAGUGUACCCGCGGCAAGACGGAAAGACCCCGUGAACCUUUACUAUAGCUUGACACUGAACAUUGAGCCUUGAUGUGUAGGAUAGGUGGGAGGCUUUGAAGUGUGGACGCCAGUCUGCAUGGAGCCGACCUUGAAAUACCACCCUUUAAUGUUUGAUGUUCUAACGUUGACCCGUAAUCCGGGUUGCGGACAGUGUCUGGUGGGUAGUUUGACUGGGGCGGUCUCCUCCUAAAGAGUAACGGAGGAGCACGAAGGUUGGCUAAUCCUGGUCGGACAUCAGGAGGUUAGUGCAAUGGCAUAAGCCAGCUUGACUGCGAGCGUGACGGCGCGAGCAGGUGCGAAAGCAGGUCAUAGUGAUCCGGUGGUUCUGAAUGGAAGGGCCAUCGCUCAACGGAUAAAAGGUACUCCGGGGAUAACAGGCUGAUACCGCCCAAGAGUUCAUAUCGACGGCGGUGUUUGGCACCUCGAUGUCGGCUCAUCACAUCCUGGGGCUGAAGUAGGUCCCAAGGGUAUGGCUGUUCGCCAUUUAAAGUGGUACGCGAGCUGGGUUUAGAACGUCGUGAGACAGUUCGGUCCCUAUCUGCCGUGGGCGCUGGAGAACUGAGGGGGGCUGCUCCUAGUACGAGAGGACCGGAGUGGACGCAUCACUGGUGUUCGGGUUGUCAUGCCAAUGGCACUGCCCGGUAGCUAAAUGCGGAAGAGAUAAGUGCUGAAAGCAUCUAAGCACGAAACUUGCCCCGAGAUGAGUUCUCCCUGACUCCUUGAGAGUCCUGAAGGAACGUUGAAG
This 1447-nucleotide ribosomal RNA is filed under the name Escherichia coli. RNAcentral's name for it is "partial 23S ribosomal RNA". It matches the Rfam family "Bacterial large subunit ribosomal RNA", at positions 1416 to 2843 of the family's 2925-position model. Lineage: Bacteria; Pseudomonadati; Pseudomonadota; Gammaproteobacteria; Enterobacterales; Enterobacteriaceae. The record is from RNAcentral.